GAUGAACGCUGGCGGCGUGCCUAAUACAUGCAAGUCGAGCGAACAGACGAGGAGCUUGCUCCUCUGACGUUAGCGGCGGACGGGUGAGUAACACGUGGAUAACCUACCUAUAAGACUGGGAUAACUUCGGGAAACCGGAGCUAAUACCGGAUAAUAUAUUGAACCGCAUGGGUCAAUAGUGAAAGACGGUUUUGCUGUCACUUAUAGAUGGAUCCGCGCCGCAUUAGCUAGUUGGUAAGGUAACGGCUUACCAAGGCGACGAUGCGUAGCCGACCUGAGAGGGUGAUCGGCCACACUGGAACUGAGACACGGUCCAGACUCCUACGGGAGGCCGCAGUAGGGAAUCUUCCGCGAUGGGCGAAAGCCUGACGGAGCAACGCCGCGUGAGUGAUGAAGGUCUUCGGAUCGUAAAACUCUGUUAUUAGGGAAGAACAAAUGUGUAAGUAACUAUGCACGUCUUGACGGUACCUAAUCAGAAAGCCACGGCUAACUACGUG
RNAcentral lists this ribosomal RNA (497 nucleotides) under uncultured bacterium. RNAcentral's name for it is "partial 16S ribosomal RNA". It matches the Rfam family "Bacterial small subunit ribosomal RNA", at positions 28 to 507 of the family's 1533-position model. The record is from RNAcentral.